CCUGGCCCCCGCCCGCGGCCACCCCGGAGGAAUUCCGCUCUUGCACUAAAGCCUCAAACUGUUUCAAACCAAGUAGGAGAUUAACUCCCAGCAAGGUACACACUGACGUCACCCUUAGCCUCCAGCCAGCAAUCUGCCCCCGACCUCAGCAUCACCAUCAGCAUCAAAACAGCAUCAGCCAUGGCAGGCUUCAAGACAGCUGGCCUUGCAGAACUCUGACCAAGAUAAGGAGUCCCAAAGUCAGUGCUGCCAAAGACAAUAGAGGGGAACGCCACAUAAAUAUAUGAGGUGUGAAUGUUGCAGAGUUUAACAAGAUAUGGGACUAACUUGAGGCACUUCCUCUCCACUCUCACAAAAUGCAUUAAACAAAAACAUGCCUCACCAGUUAUGGAACUCAAGUGUUUACACCUUCUCCUCAUCCUUUGUCCAUGAGAUUCCUGCUUAGGAUUUAGUCUUGCACUCUCUUCUACGUAGGUAGAUCUCUAUACUUCUACAGAAUGCAAUAUGGUCUUUUUGAGAAGAAUGAGAUUACUCGUAAGCUCUAAAUUGAGCAUAUUCCUAAAUAGUUGCAUACACAAGGAUCCUCCGGACUGGGAUCUUGGCUGGAAUUUUCAAGAGGGGCUAGAGGAACAAAAUUCAGAAGAUGGUAAACUGCCUCCCUUAAUUUGAAAAUCCCAGUACUGUUGAAGCAAUACAAAUAAUAAAUUAUAUUAAAUGAA
Molecule: long non-coding RNA, 719 nt
Organism: Gavialis gangeticus (Gharial)
Lineage: Eukaryota; Metazoa; Chordata; Crocodylia; Gavialidae
Exons: 4
Source: RefSeq, a predicted model, not a curated record